Molecule: ribosomal RNA, 424 nt
Filed under: uncultured prokaryote
Description: bacterial SSU rRNA
Rfam family: Bacterial small subunit ribosomal RNA
Source: RNAcentral
CAAGGAAUUUUCCCCAUUGGGCGCAAGCCUGAGGGAGCAACGCCGCGUGCAGGACGACGGCCUUCGGGUUGUAAACUGCUUUUGCGUGGGACGAUAACGACGGUACCACGCGAAUCAGCCCCGGCUAACUCUGUGCCAGCAGCCGCGGUAAUACAGAGGGGGCAAGCGUUGUCCGGACUUACUGGGCGUAAAGCGCACGCAGGUGGUAACGCAAGUGGGGUGUGAAAGUCGGCAGCUUAACUGGCGGUGGCCAUCCCAAACUGCGUCACAUGUGGCCUGUAGAGGUAUGUGGAAUUGCCGGUGUAGUGGUGAAAUGCGUAGAGAUCGGCAGGAACACCCAGGGGGAAACCAGCAUACUGGACAUGUCCUGACACUCAGGUGCGACAGCGUGGGGAGCGAACCGGAUUAGAUACCCCCGUAGUCC